Molecule: ribosomal RNA, 471 nt
Filed under: uncultured bacterium
Lineage: Bacteria
Description: bacterial SSU rRNA
Rfam family: Bacterial small subunit ribosomal RNA
Source: RNAcentral
UGGGGAAUUUUGGGCAAUGGGCGAAAGCCUGACCCAGCAACGCCGCGUGAGGGAGGAAAUCCUUCGGGAUGUAAACCUCGCAAGCAAGGGAAGACAGCUAGAGAUUUAAUAAAUUUCUAGUCCGACGGUACCUUGCGUAAGCCACGGCUAACUACGUGCCAGCAGCCGCGGUAAUACGUAGGUGGCAAGCGUUGUUCGGAAUUACUGGGCGUAAAGGGCGCGUAGGCGGCCCUCUAAGUCAGACGUGAAAUCCCCCGGCUUAACCUGGGAACUGCGUCUGAUACUGGAGGGCUUGAGUAUGGGAGAGGGAUGUAGAAUUCCAGGUGUAGCGGUGAAAUGCGUAGAUAUCUGGAGGAAUACCGGUGGCGAAGGCGGCAGUCCUGGACCAUUACUGACGCUGAGGCGCGAAAGCUAGGGGAGCAAACGGGAUUAGAUACCCCCGUAGUCCCUGAGCGGGCUGGCAAGGCGCAU